RNAcentral lists this transfer RNA (72 nucleotides) under Acanthamoeba castellanii str. Neff. It matches the Rfam family "tRNA". From Rfam's summary of the family: Transfer RNA (tRNA) molecules are approximately 80 nucleotides in length. Their secondary structure includes four short double-helical elements and three loops (D, anti-codon, and T loops). Lineage: Eukaryota; Discosea; Longamoebia; Acanthamoebidae. The record is from Rfam by way of RNAcentral.
ACGCUCGUGGCCUAAUGGAAAGGCGUCUGACUCCGGAUCAGAAGAUUGCGAGUUCGAGUCUCGCCGAGCGUG